This 254-nucleotide ribosomal RNA is filed under the name uncultured bacterium. RNAcentral's name for it is "partial 16S ribosomal RNA". It matches the Rfam family "Bacterial small subunit ribosomal RNA", at positions 524 to 776 of the family's 1533-position model. The record is from RNAcentral.
UACGAAAGGGGCUUGUGUUAUUCGGUCAAAUUGGGCGUAAAGGAUUCUAAUGCUGUUUUUUGAACGUUAAAAAUUAAAUGUCAAAGCUAACCUUGGAAUAGUUUUUAAAACCAAAAUUCUGGAGUAGUUUACGGGUUAUUAGUAUUUCUUCAAUAAGGGUCAAAUCUGUUAAUAGAAGAAGGAGGACCUAGGGCGAAGGCAAAUAACCGGUUUCUUACUGACGCAAAGGAAUUAAAGUAUGGGGAGCGAACAGG